RNAcentral lists this ribosomal RNA (669 nucleotides) under Ambrosiozyma angophorae. RNAcentral describes it as "LSU rRNA". It matches the Rfam family "Eukaryotic large subunit ribosomal RNA", at positions 1 to 638 of the family's 3401-position model. Lineage: Eukaryota; Fungi; Ascomycota; Pichiomycetes; Pichiales; Pichiaceae. The record is from RNAcentral.
UUCGGGAAGUUUUCAUAAUAAGCUCUGCUUAAACAAACUUAAUCAUAAAGUUUGACCUCAAAUCAGGUAGGAUUACCCGCUGAACUUAAGCAUAUCAAUAAGCGGAGGAAAAGAAACCAACAGGGAUUGCCUUAGUAGCGGCGAGUGAAGCGGCAAGAGCUCAAAUUUGAAAUCUGGUACCUUCGGUGCCCGAGUUGUAAUUUGAAGAUCAUAUACUUGGAAUUGGUCCUUGUCUAUGUUCCUUGGAACAGGACGUCACAGAGGGUGAGAAUCCCGUGCGAUGAGGAUACCUUUUCUUUAUAAGUUGUGUUCGACGAGUCGAGUUGUUUGGGAAUGCAGCUCAAAGUGGGUGGUAAAUUCCAUCUAAAGCUAAAUAUUGGCGAGAGACCGAUAGCGAACAAGUACAGUGAUGGAAAGAUGAAAAGAACUUUGAAAAGAGAGUGAAAAAGUACGUGAAAUUGUUGAAAGGGAAGGGUAUUUGAUCAGACUUGGUAUUUAGUUAUCUUUUUCCCUUGUGGUUGAGGCUCUAACUUUUUACUGGGCCAGCAUCAGUUUUGGUGGCAAGAUAAUCGCGUUUGAAUGUGGCUCCUCGGAGUGUUAUAGCUUUCGUUGAUAUUGCCUACCGGGACUGAGGUCUGCGGCUUUUGCCUAGGAUGCUGGCGUAAUGAU